RNAcentral lists this transfer RNA (74 nucleotides) under Parageobacillus genomosp. 1. RNAcentral describes it as "tRNA-Cys". It matches the Rfam family "tRNA". Rfam says of the family: Transfer RNA (tRNA) molecules are approximately 80 nucleotides in length. Their secondary structure includes four short double-helical elements and three loops (D, anti-codon, and T loops). Further hydrogen bonds mediate the characteristic L-shaped molecular structure. tRNAs have two regions of fundamental functional importance: the anti-codon, which is responsible for specific mRNA codon recognition, and the 3' end, to which the tRNAs corresponding amino acid is attached (by aminoacyl-tRNA synthetases). tRNAs cope with the degeneracy of the genetic code in two manners: having more than one tRNA (with a specific anti-codon) for a particular amino acid; and 'wobble' base-pairing, i.e. permitting non-standard base-pairing at the 3rd anti-codon position. Lineage: Bacteria; Bacillati; Bacillota; Bacilli; Caryophanales; Anoxybacillaceae. The record is from RNAcentral.
GGCGGCAUAGCCAAGUGGUAAGGCAGAGGUCUGCAAAACCUUCAUCCCCGGUUCGAAUCCGGGUGCCGCCUUCA